CCGAAUAGGGGAGCCGGAGGGAAACCGAGUCUUAACCGGGCGUUAAGUUGCAGGGUAUAGACCCGAAACCCGGUGAUCUAGCCAUGGGCAGGUUGAAGGUUGGGUAACACUAACUGGAGGACCGAACCGACUAAUGUUGAAAAAUUAGCGGAUGACCUGUGGCUGGGGGUGAAAGGCCAAUCAAACCGGGAGAUAGCUGGUUCUCCCCGAAAGCUAUUUAGGUAGCGCCUCGUGAAUUCAUCUCCGGGGGUAGAGCACUGUUUCGGCUAGGGGGCCAUCCCGGCUUACCAACCCGAUGCAAACUGCGAAUACCGGAGAAUGUUAUCACGGGAGACACACGGCGGGUGCUAACGUCCGUCGUGAAGAGGGAAACAACCCAGACCGCCAGCUAAGGUCCCAAAGUCAUGGUUAAGUGGGAAACGAUGUGGGAAGGCCCAGACAGCCAGGAUGUUGGCUUAGAAGCAGCCAUCAUUUAAAGAAAGCGUAAUAGCUCACUGGUCGAGUCGGCCUGCGCGGAAGAUGUAACGGGGCUAAACCAUGCACCGAAGCUGCGGCAGCGACGCUUAUGCGUUGUUGGGUAGGGGAGCGUUCUGUAAGCCUGUGAAGGUGUGUCGUGAGGC
This 620-nucleotide ribosomal RNA is filed under the name Salmonella enterica. RNAcentral describes it as "partial 23S ribosomal RNA". It matches the Rfam family "Bacterial large subunit ribosomal RNA", at positions 653 to 1269 of the family's 2925-position model. Lineage: Bacteria; Pseudomonadati; Pseudomonadota; Gammaproteobacteria; Enterobacterales; Enterobacteriaceae. The record is from RNAcentral.